This 782-nucleotide ribosomal RNA is filed under the name Dactylogyrus sp. LY. RNAcentral's name for it is "partial large subunit ribosomal RNA". It matches the Rfam family "Eukaryotic large subunit ribosomal RNA", at positions 43 to 605 of the family's 3401-position model. The record is from RNAcentral. Lineage: Eukaryota; Metazoa; Platyhelminthes; Monogenea; Dactylogyridea; Dactylogyridae.
UCAGUAAGCGGAGGAAAAGAAACUAACCAGGAUUCUCCCAGUAACGGCGAGUGAACGGAGAUUAGCCCAUCACCGAAGUCUAUCUGCUUUUGUGGACAGGGACAAUGUGGUGUUUGGGCACGUACCUGGGAGCGCUUGCCUACUCGAAGUCCAUCUCCGAUUCUGGCUUGGACUUAGCCCAUAGCGGGUAGAAAGGCCCGUGCGGGUAGGCUAUGUUGUAUUAAGCGAUCCUCAGAUGUACGUGCCUUCGAGUCGGAUUGCUUGAGAAUGCAGUCCAAAGUGGGUGGUAAACUCCAUCCAAGGCUAAAUACUGGCACGAGUCCGAUAGUAGACAAGUACCGUGAGGGAAAGUUGAAAAGUACUCUGAAGAGAGAGUAAAUAGCACGUGAAGCCGCUUGCAGGGAAGCUGGUGGAGUCAAGCUUCUUGUCUGGAGGAUUGUUACGAGAGAUGUUUGUGUCAGGACGUGAUGCUGGUUAACCUGGAAACGGUUGGGUGCAGUAAAAUGCGCUUCAAGUCGCUCUGGGAUGGGUGUUUGUGCCGGUAUCUAUCUCCUUCCUCUUGUGGUUUAUCUUCUGUGACAUACAUCACAGUCAAUAGGAUGUGUGCUGUGUGAGUGUUUAACUGUGCCUUUGUGGGAACUUAACGGUCUGCUGGGCAUUGAAUGGCAGAAGGCAUGUAUGAGUUUCGGCUUGUACUAUGCGUAUGGUGGUUUUGACCUGCUAAUGCUCACGUACAGUAUCCAAUCUAUUGUUCUUAUGCGGCGCUUGCUCUUCGGAGCGGG